GCCUUUGUGGUGUAGUGAUAGCAUGCGUCUCGUGUAUGGACGGAACGCGGGUUCAACCCCCGUUCAAGGCCGCA
Non-coding RNA from Parelaphostrongylus tenuis, 74 nucleotides. The record is from the annotation of a GenBank genome assembly. NCBI's taxonomy places the organism in Eukaryota, Metazoa, Nematoda, Chromadorea, Rhabditida, Metastrongylidae.